UCUCGAUCCACCUCCUCCAUCUUCUCUCUCUCAAUCUUACUCAGAGCCUCUUCUCUCUCGGAUCUCUUUGCCUCUCUGGGUUUUAAUCGAAGGAUGAGUUGGAGAAACUUGAGUAGAGGGAGCGGAAUACAUGCUGGAAGAUGAUGAAUAAACAACCAUUAAGGAGCAAGAAAUGCUGCAGAGGUACAAAGUCCAUUGUUGAAUGUUUUGAUUUGGAUGCAAAUAGGUGGGGAAGUUAGAAGUAAUAGAACUAACUAAAAUAUUGAAAAUGGUUUAUUGGCUGACUUUGGUGCUAUUUUGUAUUUAUUGGGUGAAGAAUAUUGAAGAAAAUAUUUUGAUGUGCUAUUGUAAUUAAAUUCACUUGUUGACCAUAAUCUGCACAAUUGUAAUUAAAUCAUCAAAAAAAAUCAUAGACUUAUAAGAGAAGAGAAAAGCAGGUCAGACAAAUUAAUGCCUCAAUCUCAUAUAAAUAUAACUAUACCUUUACAAUAAGUAGUCACGUAAAAAUGAGAUAAAAACAAUUACAUUUAUUUUAUUAUAUAAUACAUUUCAGUUUGGUACGUACUGUACGUAUAAGGAAUUUAGUUGUAAGGCAUUCUGGCAUCUUAAUUGUAAUUUGUAUGGUCAUGACUCAAGUCUAUAUUGACGCCCCAGAUAAAAUCGAACAAUGCGACAAGUGUAGCUACCUUUACUUAUCAGUUGGUGGGACGACUUUUGUUUGCAAUUUGCAAAGAAAUUGGGAAAACCCAAAUAAUGUAUAUAGCUAGCUCAUAAAACAUGCUAUGGAAAAUAGCAUACGCCAAAAAUAGACAAAUAGACAAAUAAAAUUUUAUGUAACCUAUAAAAAUUAGAACAUAAAUUACACAUUAUCGAAAA
This is a long non-coding RNA of Prunus persica (peach), 876 nucleotides long. RefSeq lists it as uncharacterized. Lineage: Eukaryota; Viridiplantae; Streptophyta; Magnoliopsida; Rosales; Rosaceae. The transcript is spliced from 2 exons. The record is from RefSeq and is a predicted model, not a curated record.